Long non-coding RNA from Homarus americanus (American lobster), 448 nucleotides. RefSeq lists it as uncharacterized. Lineage: Eukaryota; Metazoa; Arthropoda; Malacostraca; Decapoda; Nephropidae. The transcript is spliced from 3 exons. The record is from RefSeq and is a predicted model, not a curated record.
GAAAAAUGGUGCAAAACGGAUAAGAGUUACCGGGGUGCCCGACGGACCCUGUGGUUGACUCCUCGAGGAACCGCUUCUCCACAUCCACACUCUCACUCCUCUCUCAGUGCCUCCUCCGUCUCCUCCUCCUCUCUCCCCAGCACUAACGCCUCUCUCCACCACCCAGGCGCCUCCACCCUCGCUCCACACUGCCUGGACACCUUCCUCUUUUCUUCUUUUUUUUCCGUGGUUCGAAGAGCGUCUCAAGAUGAAGUGUUUCGGAGACAAAAAUCGAACUUACCACUGUAAGGUGGUGCUGCUCGACGAACAGGAGCUCAUCCAGGAGAUUCAGUGACCACAACAAGGCCGUACCAUCAGUGACCACAACAAGGCCGUACCAUUAGUGACCACAACAAGGCCGUACCAUCAGUGACCACAACAAGGCCGUACCAUCAGUGACCACAACAAG